RNAcentral lists this transfer RNA (54 nucleotides) under Eniclases similis. RNAcentral's name for it is "partial tRNA-Ser". Lineage: Eukaryota; Metazoa; Arthropoda; Insecta; Coleoptera; Lycidae. The record is from RNAcentral.
AUAAACAUAUAAACGCUUAAGUAAAAGUUAGAAGCUUUUUUUAAAUAUUUCCUU